RNAcentral lists this ribosomal RNA (253 nucleotides) under uncultured bacterium. Its description in RNAcentral is "partial 16S ribosomal RNA". It matches the Rfam family "Bacterial small subunit ribosomal RNA", at positions 524 to 776 of the family's 1533-position model. The record is from RNAcentral.
UACGGAGGAUGCAAGCGUUAUCCGGAAUGAUUGGGCGUAAAGCGUCCGCAGGUGGCUAUGUAAGUCUGCUGUUAAAGAGUCUAGCUCAACUAGAUAAGAGCAGUGGAAACUACAUGGCUAGAGUGCGUUCGGGGCAGAGGGAAUUCCUGGUGUAGCGGUGAAAUGCGUAGAGAUCAGGAAGAACACCGGUGGCGAAGGCGCUCUGCUAGGCCGCAACUGACACUGAGAGACGAAAGCUAGGGGAGCGAAUGGG